This 324-nucleotide ribosomal RNA is filed under the name uncultured eukaryote. RNAcentral's name for it is "partial 18S ribosomal RNA". It matches the Rfam family "Eukaryotic small subunit ribosomal RNA", at positions 1470 to 1796 of the family's 1831-position model. The record is from RNAcentral.
CCCUUAGAUGUUCUGGGCGGCCCGCGCACUACAAUGGCGCUUUCAGCGAGUUCCUAUGUUGAAUUUUCCUGGGUAUUCUUGGAAGCGGCGUCUUGACUUGGGAUAGAUCCUUGUAAUUGUUGGUUUUGAACGAGGAAUUCCUUGUAAUCGCGGUUGAUCAGCUCGCGUUGAAUACGUCCCUGCCCUUUGUACACACCGCCCGUCGCUCCUACCGAUUGGGUGUGCUGGUGAAAUGUUCGGAUCGGCCGUUUGUCGCGGUUUCCGCGUCAUGUGGCUGAGAAGUUCAUUAAACCCUCCCACCUAGAGGAAGGAGAAGUCGUAACA